Podarcis lilfordi (Lilford's wall lizard) is the source of this 72-nucleotide non-coding RNA. Lineage: Eukaryota; Metazoa; Chordata; Lepidosauria; Squamata; Lacertidae. The record is from the annotation of a GenBank genome assembly.
GACCUUGUGGCACAACAAUAGUUUGUCUGACUCCAGAUCAGAAGGCUGUGUGUUCAAAUCACACCAGGGUCA